AGAGUUUGAUCCUGGCUCAGAACGAACGAAAACGGCAGGCUUAACACAUGCAAGUCGAGCGCCCCGCAAGGGGAGCGGCAGACGGGUGAGUAACGCGUGGGAAUCUACCCAUCUCUACGGAAUAACGCAUGGAAACGUGUGCUAAUACCGUAUACGUCCUUCGGGAGAAAGAUUUAUCGGAGAUGGAUGAGCCCGCGUUGGAUUAGCUAGUUGGUGGGGUAAAGGCCUACCAAGGCGACGAUCCAUAGCUGGUCUGAGAGGAUGAUCAGCCACACUGGGACUGAGACACGGCCCAGACUCCUACGGGAGGCAGCAGUGGGGAAUAUUGGACAAUGGGCGCAAGCCUGAUCCA
Molecule: ribosomal RNA, 352 nt
Filed under: uncultured bacterium
Lineage: Bacteria
Description: bacterial SSU rRNA
Rfam family: Bacterial small subunit ribosomal RNA
Source: RNAcentral